Molecule: ribosomal RNA, 459 nt
Filed under: uncultured bacterium
Lineage: Bacteria
Description: partial 16S ribosomal RNA
Rfam family: Bacterial small subunit ribosomal RNA
Source: RNAcentral
CCUACGGGUGGCAGCAGUGAGGAAUAUUGGUCAAUGGUCUGGAGACUGAACCAGCCAAGCCGCGUGAGGGAUGAAGGUACAGAGUAUCGUAAACCUCUUUUGUCAGGGAACAAAGGCGGGGACGUGUCCCCGGAUGAGUGUACCUGAAGAAAAAGCAUCGGCUAACUCCGUGCCAGCAGCCGCGGUAAUACGGAGGAUGCGAGCGUUAUCCGGAUUUAUUGGGUUUAUGGGGUGCGCAGGCGGUCUGUAAAGUUAGGGUGCAAAGCCCGGGGCUAAACCCCGGCCCGCAGUUGAAACUGGCAGUCUCGAGUUGGAGAGAGGUAUGCGGAAUGCGCGGUGUAGCGGUGAAAUGCAUAGAUAUCGCGAAGAACUCCGAUGGCGAAGGCAGCAUGCCGGCUCCACACUGACGCUGAGGCACGAAAGCGUGGGUAUCGAACAGGAUUAGAUACCCUAGUAGUC